AAGUCGUAACAAGGUUUUCGUAGGUGAACCUGCGGAAGGAUCAUUAAUGAAUUCUGGGAGUCCCUCCUCACCGGAGAAGGCCCGCUUACAUUAUCUAUCACACUUGUGAACCGUUUACCGAGCGAUCGGCUGGCCCCUCUUGUCGCGAGAGGGGGUUCACCCAGCAGUUCGUUCAUCUGCUAAACCUUUAACCCUUAUGCACUUGCAAAAGUUUUGAAAUACAAGUUGAUCAAAUGAAAGAAAAACUUUCAGCAAUGGAUCUCUUGGCUCUC
RNAcentral lists this unclassified non-coding RNA (272 nucleotides) under fungal sp. Its description in RNAcentral is "partial internal transcribed spacer region". The stretch from base 1 to 46 matches the Rfam family "Eukaryotic small subunit ribosomal RNA", at positions 1786 to 1831 of the family's 1831-position model. The record is from RNAcentral. Lineage: Eukaryota; Fungi.